ACUGACUAUUAGACUUACCCCUGUAGUCCGAGGGUAGUAAACGCUGCAGACUUGGUGUUUGGAAGCCCUUUGGGGGCAUUCAGUGCCGGAGAGAAGUUGUUAAGUCUGCUACUUGGGAGUACGUCCGCAAGGAUGAAACUUAAAGGAAUUGGCGGGGGAGCACCGCAACGGGAGGAGCGUGCGGUUUAAUUUGGAUUCAACACCGUAAAACUCACCAGGGAAGACUGUUACAUGAAGGCCGAGAUGAAGACUCUGCUAGAUUUUCAG
This 267-nucleotide ribosomal RNA is filed under the name uncultured archaeon. RNAcentral's name for it is "partial 16S ribosomal RNA". It matches the Rfam family "Archaeal small subunit ribosomal RNA", at positions 719 to 982 of the family's 1478-position model. The record is from RNAcentral.